GCCCGGGUGGUGGAAUUGGUAGACACGCAGGACUUAAAAUCCUGUUCGCAGCAAUGCGAGUGACGGUUCGACCCCGUUCCUGGGUACAA
This 89-nucleotide transfer RNA is filed under the name Chitinophagaceae bacterium. Its description in RNAcentral is "tRNA-Leu". It matches the Rfam family "tRNA". Rfam says of the family: Transfer RNA (tRNA) molecules are approximately 80 nucleotides in length. Their secondary structure includes four short double-helical elements and three loops (D, anti-codon, and T loops). Lineage: Bacteria; Pseudomonadati; Bacteroidota; Chitinophagia; Chitinophagales; Chitinophagaceae. The record is from RNAcentral.